RNAcentral lists this ribosomal RNA (497 nucleotides) under uncultured bacterium. RNAcentral describes it as "partial 16S ribosomal RNA". It matches the Rfam family "Bacterial small subunit ribosomal RNA", at positions 28 to 507 of the family's 1533-position model. The record is from RNAcentral.
GAUGAACGCUGGCGGCGUGCCUAAUACAUGCAAGUCGAGCGAACAGACGAUGAGCUUGCUCCUCUGACGUUAGCGGCGGACGGGUGAGUAACACGUGGAUAACCUACCUAUCAUACUGGGAUAACUUCGGGAAACCGGAGCUAAUCCCGGAUAAUAUCUUGAACCGCAUGGUUCAAUAGUGAAAGACGGUUUUGCUGUCACUUAUAGAUGGUUCCGCGCCGCAUUAGCUAGUUGGUAAGGUAACGGCUUACCAAGGCGACGAUGCGUAGCCGACCUGAGAGGGUGAUCGGCGACAUGGGAACUGAGACACGGUCAAGACUCCUAAGGGAGGCAGCAGUAGGGAAUCGGAGGCAAUGGGCGAAAGCCUGACGGAGCAACGCCGCGUGAGUGAUGAAGGUCUUCGGAUCGUAAAACUCUGUUAUUAGGGAAGAACAAAUGUGGAAGUAAAUAUGCACGUCUUGACGGUACCUAAUCAAAAAGCCACGGCUAACUACGUG